This 252-nucleotide ribosomal RNA is filed under the name uncultured bacterium. RNAcentral's name for it is "partial 16S ribosomal RNA". It matches the Rfam family "Bacterial small subunit ribosomal RNA", at positions 524 to 776 of the family's 1533-position model. The record is from RNAcentral.
UACGUAGGGUGCGAGCGUUAAUCGGAAUUACUGGGCGUAAAGGGUGCGUAGGCGGCGAGGCAAGUCUGGUGUGAAAUCCCCAGGCUUAACUUGGGAACUGCGUCUGAUACUGGGAGGCUUGAGUGCGGGAGAGGGAUGUGGAAUUCCAGGUGUAGCGGUGAAAUGCGUAGAUAUCUGGAGGAACACCGGUGGCGAAGGCGGCAUCCUGGACCGACACUGACGCUGAGGCGCGAAAGCUAGGGAGCAAACGGG